GAUGAACGCUGGCGGCGUGCCUAAUACAUGCAAGUCGAGCGAAUGGAUUAAGAGCUUGCUCUUAUGAAGUUAGCGGCGGACGGGUGAGUAACACGUGGGUAACCUGCCCAUAAGACUGGGAUAACUCCGGGAAACCGGGGCUAAUACCGGAUAACAUUUUGAACCGCGUGGUUCGAAAUUGAAAGGCGGCUUCGGCUGUCACUUAUGGAUGGACCCGCGUCGCAUUAGCUAGUUGGUGAGGUAACGGCUCACCAAGGCAACGAUGCGUAGCCGACCUGAGAGGGUGAGCGGCCACGCUGGGACUGAGAGACGGCCCAGACUCCUACGGGAGGCAGCAGUAGGGAAUCUUCCGCAAUGGACGAAAGUCUGACGGAGCAACGCCGCGUGAGUGAUGAAGGCUUUCGGGUCGUAAAACUCUGUUGUUAGGGAAGAACAAGUGCUAGUUGAAUAAGCUGGCACCUUGACGGUACCUAACCAGAAAGCCACGGCUAACUACGUGCCAGCAGCCGCGGUAA
Molecule: ribosomal RNA, 515 nt
Filed under: uncultured bacterium
Lineage: Bacteria
Description: partial 16S ribosomal RNA
Rfam family: Bacterial small subunit ribosomal RNA
Source: RNAcentral